GGGGGUAUAGCUCAUUGGUAGAGCAUUCGUCUGCAGAUCGAAAUGCCCCCAGUUCAAACCUGGGUGCCCCCU
Molecule: transfer RNA, 72 nt
Filed under: Daphnia pulicaria
Lineage: Eukaryota; Metazoa; Arthropoda; Branchiopoda; Diplostraca; Daphniidae
Description: tRNA-Cys
Rfam family: tRNA
About the family: Transfer RNA (tRNA) molecules are approximately 80 nucleotides in length. Their secondary structure includes four short double-helical elements and three loops (D, anti-codon, and T loops).
Source: RNAcentral